This 497-nucleotide ribosomal RNA is filed under the name uncultured bacterium. RNAcentral's name for it is "partial 16S ribosomal RNA". It matches the Rfam family "Bacterial small subunit ribosomal RNA", at positions 28 to 507 of the family's 1533-position model. The record is from RNAcentral.
GAUGAACGCUGGCGGCGUGCCUAAUACAUGCAAGUCGAGCGAACAGAUGAGGAGCUUGCUCCUCUGACGUUAGCGGCGGACGGGUGAGUAACACGUGGAUAACCUACCUAUAAGAUUGGGAUAACUUCGGGAAACCGGAGCUAAUACCGGAUAAUAUAUUGAACCGCAUGGUUCAAUAGUGAAAGACGGUUUUGCUGUCACUUAUAGAUGGAUCCGCGCCGCAUUAGCUAGUUGGUAAGGUAACGGCUUACCAAGGCGACGAUGCGUAGCCGACCUGAGAGGGUGAUCGGCCACACUGGAACUGAGACACGGUCCAGACUCCUACGGGAGGCAGCAGUAGGGAAUCUUCCGCAAUGGGCGAAAGCCUGACGGAGCAACGCCGCGUGAGUGAUGAAGGUCUUCGGAUCGUAAAACUCUGUUAUUAGGGAAGAACAAAUGUGUAAGUAACUAUGCACGUCUUGACGGUACCUAAUCAGAAAGCCACGGCUAACUACGUG